Molecule: ribosomal RNA, 497 nt
Filed under: uncultured bacterium
Lineage: Bacteria
Description: partial 16S ribosomal RNA
Rfam family: Bacterial small subunit ribosomal RNA
Source: RNAcentral
GAUGAACGCUGGCGGCGUGCCUAAUACAUGCAAGUCGAGCGAACAGACGAGGAGCUUGCUCCUCUGACGUUAGCGGCGGACGGGUGAGUAACACGUGGAUAACCUACCUAUAAGACUGGGAUAACUUCGGGAAACCGGAGCUAAUACCGGAUAAUAUAUUGAACCGCAUGGUUCAAUAGUGAAAGACGGUUUUGCUGUCACUUAUAGAUGGAUCCGCGCCGCAUUAGCUAGUUGGUAAGGUAACGGCUUACCAAGGCAACGAUGCGUAGCCGACCUGAGAGGGUGAUCGGCCACACUAGAACUGAGACACGGUCCAGACUCCUACGGGAGGCAGCAGUAGGGAAUCUUCCGCAAUGGGCGAAAGCUUUGCGGAGCAACGCCGCGUGAGUGAUGAAGGUCUUCGGAUCGUGAAGCUCUGUUAUUAGGUAUGAACAAAUGUGUAAGUAGCUAUGCACGUCUUGACGGUACCUAAUCAGGAAGCCCCGGCUAACUACGUG